This is a non-coding RNA of Chelonia mydas (Green sea turtle), 1209 nucleotides long. Lineage: Eukaryota; Metazoa; Chordata; Testudines; Cheloniidae. The record is from the annotation of a RefSeq genome assembly.
GUGCGGUGCUGGGUGACUCGGUCCGGUCCAAUGAACCCGAGGUGUCCAGGCUCUGCGCUGGGCGACUCGGUCAAAUCCAAUCAACUCGAAGUGUCUGGAUCAGUUGGAGGUUCUGUGACACUCACCUGUUCUUACACCACCAGCGAUACGUAUGUUUAUCUCUCUUGGUACCGUCAGUAUCCGAACCAAGCCCCGCAGUACAUUCUCCAGAGAGGAGCAAAAGGGAGCACGUUCAGUGAUACCGCAGAUUUCGCCCAGAAGAGGUUUUCUUCCCAGGCUAAUGACAGCGCCACAGCUCUGAACAUCGCAGCCCUGGAGCUGGCGGACAGCGCGGUGUAUCUCUGCGCCCUGCAGAGAGCACAGUGACAGAGCCGCACAGGAGAGCCGUACAAAAACCCUCCCUUCCCAGCUACAGAUAAUGCUGUGCAUAUUGAGGUUGGAAGCGGAGCCCCUCGGGCGUUUUCCUGUUAAAAACACAUAUUCUGGCUCCAGCGUGGUGCUGUCAGAUUACUCCUUCCUAGUCUCUCCAAACGGCCUGUAUUAAAAUAGUGGUUUCCAUAUGAGGAGAGAUGAAUAAAACUGGGACUUUUCAGCUCGAAAAAGAGUCGACUCAGGGGGGAUGUGAUAGAGGUCUAUAAAAUCAUGACUGGUGUGGAGAAAGUAAUUAAGGAAGUGUUAUUUAUUCCUUCCCAUAACACAAGAACCAGGGGUCACCCAGUUAAAUGAAUACAUAGCAGGUUUAAAACAAACAAAAGGAAGUAUUUCUUCACACAGCACACAGUCAACCUGAGGAACUCCUUGCCAGAGGGUGUUGUGAAGGCCAAGACUAUAACAGGGUUCAAAAAGGAACUAGUUGGAUGUUUGGUCUGAUCCAGUAUGGCUGCUCUUAUAUUUUUACCCCCUAUUACAUGAGGGCAAGAUUAAAGGCCCAAGCUGUAUAAAGGAAAGACUGGAUUAUUUGUUCUGGUUCUGGAUCAGAGGCAGUUAUGUCCCACAGGUCUUCCGGGGGGUACAUCAACUCCUCUAGAUAUUUGCCUAGUUUUAUAACAGGCUACAUAAAAGCACUAGCAAAGUCUGCACAAACUAUUUCAUAGGGACAAUGACUUGUUUCUACUGCUGUAUAUACUACACACCAAAAUGUAAAUAUGGUAUUUAUAUUCCAAUUGAUUUAUGUUAUCAUUCGUGGUAAAAAUAAAAAGUAAGAUUUUU